Molecule: small nuclear RNA, 107 nt
Organism: Suricata suricatta (meerkat)
Lineage: Eukaryota; Metazoa; Chordata; Mammalia; Carnivora; Herpestidae
Source: Ensembl
GUGCUCGCUUCGGCAGCCCAUAUACUAAAAUCGAAACAAUACAGAAAGGACUGGCAUAGCCCCCAUGCACGUAUAACAUACAUUAAAAUGAAUUCUUACUUUCUUUA